UCAGCUUUUGCAUUGGACUCUGGGGAAACAUGGCGUCUCUCUCACAUGAAAACUGCAGAUGAAAACUCUGUUAAGCUUCACAUCUUCAAGCUGGGGGAAGAAGAGUCUAAUGAAGAUCACAUAAACCUCAUCAAAACCUCAGUGGAAGAUACUCUGAAACUGAUUGAAUAUAUCAUCGAGUUGGAGAAGACGAGAGUUGAUCUCAAAAUUUGUGUCAGAAGGAACACCCAACUCUGCAAGCUACCCCUCGAGAACUUUACACUUACUGGGCAAUCCUCGCUCUUCUUGCCUGUGCCAAUCAAAAGUUUGAACUGGACUGGAACAUGAGAUCGGAAGUUUUCAAAAUGCUCAAGUUUGCUGUCACAUGUGUGAAUGGAGAUUUGACUAGGUUCAAAGAAGAAAUAGCUUCAACAAGAGAUCUGACUUGGUGAUUGGAGGUGAUUUACUCUCCUUCUAGAAUUUUGCAGCUCUUGAAGGCUCUUAUCUUCCAUGAGAACACUCAAGUUCAACAACUUGAAAUAUUUGAGUAUACUUCUG
Prosopis cineraria is the source of this 537-nucleotide long non-coding RNA. RefSeq lists it as uncharacterized. The transcript is spliced from 3 exons. The record is from RefSeq and is a predicted model, not a curated record. NCBI's taxonomy places the organism in Eukaryota, Viridiplantae, Streptophyta, Magnoliopsida, Fabales, Fabaceae.